CAUUAAUAAGCACAUCGGCUAUAGGCAUAGGAUAUUCAUCUUUCGGAGAAGCUCUGUUAGGAUUUCUAAAAUCAAUGCACACUCUGAGCUUAUCCGUGUCCUUCUUCUCAACAGGCACAAUAUUAGAAACCCAAUCAACAUAUCGACAAGGCCUAAUAAACUUAGCAUCAAGCAACCGACUGAUUUCUUCUUUCACUCGGUCAUAAAUAAUAGGAUUAAAGCAUCUAGUAGGUUAUUUAUGAGGCCUAAAAUUGGGCUUAAUGGGCUGUCAAUUUUCAACUAGCUCAUGGCUUAAACCAGGUAUUUCAGUAUAAUUUCAUGCAAAACAGUCGACAUACUCUUUCAAUAACUUUAAUAAAUCAACCUUAAAAGUAGGCUCAAGAUUUUUGUUUACAAACAUAAGCCUUGGUAUAGUACCAAUACCAAUAUCCACCUCCUCUAAAGGAUCAGCCGAUGUAAACCCUUGUCCUAAUUUACUCAUAUCAUUAAAGUCCUCAAUGGCCUCAUACAUAUUGUUCUUCUGCGCCCGAUAGUGUUCUAGACUCUGCUGCAACCAUUCUAGAUUUACAUUUAUUACAUCAUAUGUGAUAAGUUGGCCGAUCCUCAACCGGCUUUACUACAACAGCGACGAAACCAUCCUUUGUGCAACUAAUGAACUCAUAAUUGGAAAGAUCCAAACCAGAUAAGCCCUUGACAUUAUCAUGCGCACUUAUGGUGGAACUAUCGGCUAUAGCAACACAAGCCGACGUAUCACCAUGCACGACCUCUACUUCAUCGCCAACCCACUGGAUUAAGAAUUGAUGCAAAGUAGAAGGGACAUAUUGAUUUGCAUGUAUCCAAUCAUGACCCAAAACUAAACUAAAGUUACCUUGGGUCUCAGCGAUAAAGAAAGCGGUAGCCAACGUUUUGCUCCCAACAAUGAGCUCCAUAAAGACAACGCCUUUAGCUCCCGUAGGCUCGCCUCCUCCCACACCGCUGAUAGUUAUGUUGGUCUUGAUCAGCUC
RNAcentral lists this long non-coding RNA (1004 nucleotides) under Setaria viridis. RNAcentral describes it as "long non-coding RNA (SVIR_LNC007414)". Lineage: Eukaryota; Viridiplantae; Streptophyta; Magnoliopsida; Poales; Poaceae. The record is from RNAcentral.